GUCCUUCUGAAUCUGUGUAGAGAUUUCGUCAGACACUAGACAAUCAGGACUGACGAAACUCCAAAAAUAAUUGGGGCC
Molecule: non-coding RNA, 78 nt
Organism: Schistosoma mansoni
Lineage: Eukaryota; Metazoa; Platyhelminthes; Trematoda; Strigeidida; Schistosomatidae
Source: Rfam